RNAcentral lists this long non-coding RNA (436 nucleotides) under Panax ginseng (ginseng). Its description in RNAcentral is "long non-coding RNA (PGIN_LNC005258)". Lineage: Eukaryota; Viridiplantae; Streptophyta; Magnoliopsida; Apiales; Araliaceae. The record is from RNAcentral.
UUAUUUUGGCUGGAUCGAGAUGUAAUUAGAAAAUGAAAUCACAGUAUUUCGUUGUUAAACCAAAAUCUUGAUUCUGGGACUGAAAAGAAUAACCUUUUAUAUAAAGGGAAUAUUUUAUUGAUCGUAUAUUCGACCUUUGCGAACGAUUAAGUAUUAUGCAUAAUAUAGGGUACAAGGAGUUGGUCGGCUCUGAGUACUUGCAGAGGGGUAUGAUUUAAAUCUUUAUGGUUAUCUGAUACACUUGGGUAUAUCAAAGUCAAAUCUUUGAUAGUUACUCGAGAAGAGAAGUUCAAGAUCCAAUGGAUCGCUCAGCAUAAAUCUUGAAAACAUUUGUCGAUCGAUUUCGCAAUCAAUGAAUACGUGCAAGUAUACACGGUCAACAAGUAAUAAAGUGAAAGUAGAGUAUCGUUCCCACGAGUUAUUAUUUAAUAAAAAU